RNAcentral lists this ribosomal RNA (478 nucleotides) under uncultured bacterium. Its description in RNAcentral is "partial 16S ribosomal RNA". It matches the Rfam family "Bacterial small subunit ribosomal RNA", at positions 28 to 523 of the family's 1533-position model. The record is from RNAcentral.
GACGAACGCUGGCGGCGUGCUUAACACAUGCAAGUCGAACGGUAAGGCCCUUCGGGGUACACGAGUGGCGAACGGGUGAGUAACACGUGGGUGAUCUGCCCUGCACUUCGGGAUAAGCCUGGGAAACUGGGUCUAAUACCGGAUAGGACCAUUGCCUGCAUGGGUGGUGGUGGAAAGCUUUUGCGGUGUGGGAUGGGCCCGCGGCCUAUCAGCUUGUUGGUGGGGUGAUGGCCUACCAAGGCGACGACGGGUAGCCGGCCUGGGAGGGUGACCGGCGACACUGGGACUGAGAUACGGCCCAGACUCCGACGGGAGGCAGCAGUGGGGAAUAUUGCACAAUGGGCGCAAGACUGAUGCAGCGACGCCGCGUGGGGGAUGACGGCCUUCGGGUUGUAAACCUCUCUCAGCACCGACGAAGCGCAAGUGACGGUAGGUGCAGAAGAAGGACCGGCCAACUACGUGCCAGCCGCCGCAGUAA